UACGUAGGGGGCUAGCGUUGUCCGGAAUCAUUGGGCGUAAAGCGCGUGUAGGCGGUCCGGUAAGUCCGCUGUGAAAGUCGGGGGCUCAACCCUCGAAUGCCGGUGGAUACUGUCGGGCUAGAGUGCGGAAGAGGCGAGUGGAAUUCCCGGUGUAGCGGUGAAAUGCGCAGAUAUCGGGAGGAACACCAAUGGCGAAGGCAGCUCGCUGGGACGGUACUGACGCUGAGACACGAAAGCCAGGGGAGCGAACGGG
Molecule: ribosomal RNA, 253 nt
Filed under: uncultured bacterium
Lineage: Bacteria
Description: partial 16S ribosomal RNA
Rfam family: Bacterial small subunit ribosomal RNA
Source: RNAcentral